RNAcentral lists this ribosomal RNA (509 nucleotides) under Eudontomyzon mariae. Its description in RNAcentral is "partial large subunit ribosomal RNA". It matches the Rfam family "Bacterial large subunit ribosomal RNA", at positions 568 to 1221 of the family's 2925-position model. Lineage: Eukaryota; Metazoa; Chordata; Hyperoartia; Petromyzontiformes; Petromyzontidae. The record is from RNAcentral.
UGAAAAAGUGAUGAAACAGAUCGAUUAAGUAAAGUAAAGCAAAGAUAAAAUCUUGUACCUUUUGCAUCAUGGCUUAGCAAGUAGACCCGAAAAUACUGCCGCCCCCCCGAAACUAGACGAGCUACCCUGGGAUUACCUAUAAGGGUUGAUCCGUAUCUGUGGCAAAAGAUUGGAAAAAGCCCUGGGUAGAGGUGAAAAGCCUACCGAGCCUAGUGAUAGCUGGUUACUUAAGAAACAAGUUUAAGCUUGAUCUUAAUUUGUAGAUAAGCAACAAAAUUACUUAUAAAUUUAAACAUCUUACUACUCUACAUUUUAAGUUUUAUUCACUAGGGGUACAGCCCUAGCGAACAGAGAUACAGCUCUAUUAAUUAGAUAAUAUCCCACCUAUAAACUUAAGUAGGCCUAAAAGCAGCCACCAAGAAGAAAAGCGUUACAGCUUAAGUUUACUAAACUUUAAAUACCAUAAUAUAUAAAGACCCUAUAACCACUAUUAAGUAAUCCUAUAUAAU